GGGAAUUAUUUGGAUAGUACAAAGUUAAGAAGAUGAAAAAAGCUGUCUUACCUGGAGUUCUUAUACAGGAUCUGAGGACUCACACCCACUUCUGUGAACAUCAGCUGUACACAGACUACAUUCUAAGUUUAUAGCAUUGGGAUACAGAACACAAGUCCAGGGGACUGAAGAUCAAACAUGCC
Phascolarctos cinereus (koala) is the source of this 182-nucleotide non-coding RNA. The record is from RefSeq and is a predicted model, not a curated record. Lineage: Eukaryota; Metazoa; Chordata; Mammalia; Diprotodontia; Phascolarctidae.